UCCCUGAAGAUCCAGUGGUUAAGACUCUGUGCUUCCAAUGCAGGGGGUGCGGGUUCAAUCCCUGGUCAGGGAA
Molecule: non-coding RNA, 73 nt
Organism: Bos taurus (domestic cattle)
Lineage: Eukaryota; Metazoa; Chordata; Mammalia; Artiodactyla; Bovidae
Source: Rfam